RNAcentral lists this ribosomal RNA (254 nucleotides) under uncultured bacterium. RNAcentral's name for it is "partial 16S ribosomal RNA". It matches the Rfam family "Bacterial small subunit ribosomal RNA", at positions 524 to 776 of the family's 1533-position model. The record is from RNAcentral.
GACAUAGGUGGCGAACGUUAUCCGGAAUUAUUGGGCGUAAAGGAUGCGUAGAUGGCAGAGUAGGUUACUGGUUGAUGUCAAACUCAAUUUGACGGAAGCUGGUAAUACUUUUUUGCUAGAGGGCAGGAGAGGUUGAUGGAAUUCUGUGUGGAGCGGUGAAAUGCGUUGAUCUACAGAGGAACACCAAAAAAGGCGAAGGCAGUCAACUAUCCUGUUCCUGACAUUGAGGCAUGAAAGCGUGGGGAGCAAACCGG